RNAcentral lists this long non-coding RNA (661 nucleotides) under Sorghum bicolor (sorghum). RNAcentral describes it as "long non-coding RNA (SBIC_LNC011573)". The record is from RNAcentral. Lineage: Eukaryota; Viridiplantae; Streptophyta; Magnoliopsida; Poales; Poaceae.
GUACAAUGUCAAUAAUAAGGCCAGGAUUACGGACUGCAUGACAGAACAGCAUGUCUCCGAGUGAUCCAUCAGUCAAUGCAGGGCAGUAUACAGGUAUGUUAUUCUGGUCAAGUACUGAUGAGUUAGUACAGUGUGACUGCUGUCUUGAGAUGUAUAAUAACUUCAGCAUAAGGAAAGCACGAGUGAUCCAUCAGUCAAUGCAGGGCAGUAUACAGGUAUGUUAUUCUGGUCAAGUACUGAUGAGUUAGUACAGUGUGACUGCUGUCUUGAGAUGUAUAAUAACUUCAGCAUAAGGAAAGCACGAAACUCCAUGCAAUUUUUUAUGAGAUAUCCAACCAGGAACAGGAAAGGGUAAGGCACAGAGUCUAUUUAACAUCAAGAGUAAUAGCUAUUGUAUAUUGCUUGCAUCAACUGAGCUAUGAACAUUUCUAAACCAACUAAGGUCCAAAUAUAGCUAUCAGAUACACAAACACAGUGCAUUAAUAGAUUCCACAGUAAAGCAAAAGCAACAAUAAGUUGCUCAAAAAACACAGCUGAAUUUUUAUUAUUUUUCCCAUCCAACAUAAAUCAAUGCAUAAUUUGUAAAUAUAAUCAGCACGCCCCCAUUUCAGCAGUUUUAAUAUUUCCUAAGAAUACACAGGUAAUGUAAAAACAUAUUACC